Molecule: long non-coding RNA, 593 nt
Organism: Perca flavescens (yellow perch)
Lineage: Eukaryota; Metazoa; Chordata; Actinopteri; Perciformes; Percidae
Exons: 5
Source: RefSeq, a predicted model, not a curated record
CUUACAUAUGCUAGCUUAUCUAAUAUGCACUCAGUGUGUGCUGCCUUUGUUGAGGGUUUGUGUCUGGAUAGAAAAACAGAAAGUUGCUGAUGAGGGCACUGUUGCUCCAAAAACACCAGACUCUGCAGCCAUGUUGGGAUCAACAGCUCUAAAUUCCCUGGGCCUUGCUGUUAACUCUCAUCCUGCUUCCAGGACGGAAUCAUUUUUUCAUCGGGAUCUUGAUUGAAAAAAAGCCAACAGUGACAAACUCCACACCCAGAGGACCUAGGCUGACCGGGAAUCGAUCACUGGACCAUUUUGCUGUGAGGCAACAGUGCUAUCCACCCAACUCAAAAUCCAAAAAUGUCAAACGAGGAUCUGGGCGGCGGAGCGGGAUAAAGGCCGACGUUGAAGGUGACAGGAGGGGAUGGCUGAUGGAGAGUGGGACUGUGAAAUGGAGGAGGAGAGAGAUGGAAAGUGGCGCUUACCCUCAGGCUCUGGCAGUCUGGCGAUGGAAUCCAGCAGGAGGCAACGUUUGAACGUCAGCGUCUGGCAGGCCUGGUAUGACAACACACACCUGGAGGAGAGCGAGAGAAAGGCAUUAGAGGGCUGGC